Molecule: transfer RNA, 91 nt
Filed under: Streptomyces griseorubiginosus
Lineage: Bacteria; Bacillati; Actinomycetota; Actinomycetes; Kitasatosporales; Streptomycetaceae
Description: tRNA-Pro
Source: RNAcentral
CGGGCGACAUGGGCGAGCAGUGCCCGGGCGUCGGCCGCCCAGCCGUCGAGGGGCCACAACGCGGCGGCCGGUUCGGGCCCGGGGCGUUCGA